CUGUCUCAAAAAUAAAUAAACGUUAAAAAAAAAUUAAAAUAUAAGGGACUUUACCCAUACUUAGUGGGAUUAUACUGUACUUUGUGACCAUAUUUGACUUUUUGAGGGCUUAAACUCUUUAGUUUAAGGAUAAAAUUUGCCAGAUCCAUCUCCACGUAAAAUAUUACCAUUUUUAUUGUUUGUUCAAAUAAUUUAACAGAAUUCUAGUUAUAGCUUGGAGCAAGUAACUUCACGACGCAAGAGAAAAAUAAAAAUUAUAACUUUUUAAUCUUGGUUAUCUUGCAGACAUAUCUUAUUACUCUAAAGCAGAGAGUCUUGUGAAUUAUCCCAUGUGUUGACAAGCACUUUUCCCAUUCUGCUAAAGUGAUUAGUUAAGAGUUGAACAUUGAUUAAUUUAUUUAUAUUUCUUUUUAUUUUUUACUUAUGUAUUUUAUUGUUUCAAGUUUUUAUUUAAAUUCUAGUUAGUUAACAUAUAGUGUAAUAUUAAUUUCAGGAGUAGAAUUUAGUGAUUCAUCACUUACAUGUAACACCCAGUGCUCAUCACAAGUGCCCUCCUAAUACACAUAACCUGAGCCCAUCCCUUGCCCAUUUCCCCUCCAGCAACCCUCCGUUGAACAUUAAUUUAUUUAACCAGGUGUUUUACUAAUGUCUUUAAGAAAAUGAGUUGCCAGUGAGCGUUACUAGUUUGAUUUUGCACAUACAUUUCCACAUGCGUGCGCCCCCCCCCCGAUAUUUUAAAAAGUACAAUAGAAAUAUAUGACUGAGAGCUUUGACAAAAGGUACAUGGUGAAUACAAUGUAAGUAAUAUAGGUAGAAAGAAAAUAAAUAAAAAACAGUACAAAUAAGAUAGAAAACACAAAAUACUUAGAAACAAAUCAGCAUAUAUACCAAAACUACAUGACAGUUAUCUUCCACCAACCUCAAAAUGCAAGUGGGUAGAGAUGAAGCAAUGAAAGCUGCAAGAUUAGCAUUUGUCGAGGGAAAGCGGAAACAAAACAGUGUGGUUUCUGAUGGCACAAGUACAGGCAGAUGCCCAGGUAAUAAUAUUUGGCAGGCAAAUCUAAGAAUAGAAGCUGACCCUUGAGAGGUGUUUUAUUUUUAUUUUUAUUUAUUUUUAUUAUUUUUCUUUAUUUUUGAGAUGCAGAGACAGAGUGCAGUGGGGGAGGGGCAGAGAGAGAGAGAGACACACACACACACAGAAUGUAAAGCAGGCUCCAGGCUCUGAGCUGUCAGCACGGAGCCCAAUGCACAGCCCAAACUCACGAACCUUGAGAUCAUGACCUAAGCUGAAGUCAGACGCUCAACCGACUGAGCCACCCAGGUGCCCCUCGAGAGGUGUUUUAUACCUGAAUUUAUGGGUGAAGUCAUUGAGUCCACUUCAAGAUCUGAAGAUACUGGGAAAGCCUAGGUUCUAUGAACUCUUGAAAUUCUAAGACUGAGCUACACAAUGAGAAGCUGCUGGGCACAGCCCCAAACUAAGCAAGGAAGUAAAAAAAAAAAAAAAAAAAAGGCAAAAAUAGAAUAUUUAAAUUAAAUGGAUCAUUGAGCAGAUAAGGUAGAUUUCAGAAGGCAAGAGGCUGUAUUUUUUUAUCCUUUUGGAAAACUAAAAAGAGGGGGUGGUAGUGUUUACUCCACAUACUGAACAGUAAAGAAAAUCUCUCUUCACUUAAAAAUGAGCAACAGGAAAGGAUUUUGGCUGAAUUACAUAGGGAGCUAUUUUAAGAAAUGAUAAAGCAUCAGAAUGAAAAUCAAAACAGAAAGAUGCACACCAAACAAGUAAGACAUGUAGUUUCAUAUUUAAUAGCAAACUAAAAAAAGGAAGUAUUGAAAUAACCUCAAAUCAUUUAAUUGGGAAAAGAGAGAUUCAUAAAGAGAGAUGACAGGACUGAUGAAAGAAUUAUUAUGACCCAGUAAUUAAACUACUAGGUAUUUAUCCAAAGGAUACAAAAAUGCUGAUUCUAAGGGACACAUGCACCCCAAUGUUUAUACCAGCACUAUCAACAAUAGCCAAAGUAUGGAAAGAGCCAAAUGUCCAUCCACUGAGGUGAUGAAAAAGAAUGAAAUCUUGCCAUUUGCAACAGUGUGGAUGGGACUGGAGUAUAUUACACUAAAUAAAAUAAGUCAGUCAGAAAAAGACAAAUAUCAUAUGAUUUCAUUCAUAUGUGGAAUUUAAGAAACAAAACAGAUUAACAUAGGGGAAGGGAAAGAAAGAAUAAGAUAAAAAGAGAGAGGGAGGCAAACCAUAAGAGACUCUUAAAGACAGAGAACAAACUGAGGGCUGCUGGAGAGGAGGUGGGUGGGGAUGGGCUAAAUGGGUGAUGGGUGUUAAGGAGGGCACUUGUUGGGAUAAGCACAGGGUGUUAUAUGUAAGUGAUGAAUCACUGGGUUCUACUCCUAAAACCAAUACUACACUGUACGUUAACUAACUUGAAUAUAAAAAAUAAGUAAAAGAAAAUGAAUUAUUAAUAAAAGUAAAAUGAAUUUUGGAAAUAAAGAAUAAAUUAAGAGAAACAAAAGAGGGGUGACUGGCCUUAGUUAAAUGUCCGACUCUAGGUUUCAGCUCAGGUCAUUAUCUCCACUGUUGUGGGAUUGAAUCCUGUAUCAGGUUCUGCUCUGAGUGUAGAGCCUGCUUAGGAUUCUCUCUCACCCUCUCUUUUUCUGUCCCCUGCCCUGCUUGUGCACACCCUCUCUCUCUCUCAAAAUAAAUGAACUUAAAAAUAGAGAAACAAAAGAAUAGAAUUUUAAAUAGAAUUGUGAAAUCACUAUGUUGUUCACCUCAAAUUAAUACAUUUUAUGUCAACUAUACCUUAAAGAAAUUUAAAAGGAGAAACAAAAGAGCAAUGAAAAGCAAAUAAUAAUUUCUUAAAUUUAAAUAUGAUUAGAAUUUGAAAGGAUGUGUAUAUAGAAUACAGGCAAAGAAAUCCACCAUAUAUACAGAAGGAGUUCUCAAAAAAGAAAACACAAGCAAAGGGGCAAAAUAAAAAGCCAUAAUGAAUAAAAUUUUCCUGGAACUAAAAACAUUCUUGAAACUCUUUAUAGAGGGUUGCCUGGGUGGUUCAAUUGGUUAAGCGUCCGACUCUUGGUUUUGGUGCAGGUCAUAAUCUCAUGGUUUUGUGAGUUUGAGCUCCACAUCUGGCUCUGGGCUGGCAGCAUGGAGUCUGCUUGGGAUUCUCUCUCCCUCACUCUCUGCCCCUUCCCUACUUGUGCUGUCUCUGUCUCUCUCAAAUAAAUAAAUAAACUUAAAAAAAAAAA
Long non-coding RNA from Acinonyx jubatus (cheetah), 3252 nucleotides. RefSeq lists it as uncharacterized. Lineage: Eukaryota; Metazoa; Chordata; Mammalia; Carnivora; Felidae. The transcript is spliced from 2 exons. The record is from RefSeq and is a predicted model, not a curated record.